UUGCCGAUGAUGGUUAUGAAUUUCUUCACCUGAAUAAGUCAUGUGGUCAUACUGUGUCUGAGGCAAA
This 67-nucleotide small nucleolar RNA is filed under the name Ursus americanus (American black bear). The record is from RNAcentral. Lineage: Eukaryota; Metazoa; Chordata; Mammalia; Carnivora; Ursidae. RNAcentral also lists the same sequence under 2 other names.